CUUAGUGAACGUGUUGUCUCUUCCAAGAAGGCUCAAGCUAAUUGGUAUAGAAAGCUAUUGGAGGCAUGGAGAGAAGCAAAGCCUCCACCAAAAACACCAGAACAAGCUGCUAGGCUUGUUAUUCAGACCUUGGCAAGACAUAAAAAGGCAGAUGUUGAGGGUUUAUUGUCUUUCUAUGGUCUCCCGCUCCCUCAUACUCUUGUUGCACCUUCUACUGGUGUCCCAACAACAUUGCCAGAGGGGGUCAAGUUUGAGCUGCAGACUCUACCAGUGGAUGCAAAAGCU
This 285-nucleotide unclassified non-coding RNA is filed under the name Hevea brasiliensis (rubber tree). Lineage: Eukaryota; Viridiplantae; Streptophyta; Magnoliopsida; Malpighiales; Euphorbiaceae. The record is from RNAcentral.